UGAUGAUGGACGCACGGCAUUGCAAGCUCAGCAAAAGACACUACGUUUCUUUCUUUGCCAAAAUGUGUUUGCCCUGUGCAAUUGAAUUUUCUCCUACGUGUUGCCUGAGAGGUGUUAACAAGGACAUUUAGGAGAGAUAAAAGAAGUGGCCAAGAUGGGGAAGGACUACAACUGGCUGCUGCCUCUUAGCUGAGGGUUUUUUCUCUUGGGAAGUGCAGAGAUGCCACAAAAUUUUGUCUGGGGGGUCAGAGGCUGGGCUCAGAUGCACCCUCUCUCUCACUCUCAGGACUGGAGCUGAGACAGGCUACUGCUGCAGGAAGAAUUCACUGCCACUGUGAAGUUCUGACCAGCACUGCUUUUCUGCGUACCAUGGGUGAGCCUUUGCCUAUAACAGCGGCCAUUGACUGAGACCUUUCCAACAGCUGAUCUCACUGGGAAGGACUCUCACCAUCUGCUCAGGUGCCCCAGGGGAAAACCUGGCACCCUGACAUCCUUCCAUCUCUGGAAAAAUUGUUUCCUGGGUCCUUGCGGGAGCCCAGCCAGCACUGCCCAGCCCUGCUGUUUGCUGCUGCUGCUGCUUUGGGCUAUUUGCUACCAGGACCCCCUUCUACAUCUCCUUAUACCAGUUCUUGGGGCUUAGUGCUACACUUCGAUUCACCAUCCCUGGCAGUCUGCUCACCUGUGCUGUUCCAGCCUGCUGCUCCAAGGUUCCUGCUACAGUCAUAUCGCCAUCCAGAGGGAGCACUGGGACCAGCUACCCCCCGUGAGUUUGUAAAGGAAGUUCCUCCUCCAUCCCUUCCUGCCGGCUGUGCCGCCAUUACCGUGUGGAGAGAGGGGGCUGGGCCAACUCCACAGCGCCCCCUGCAGGCGCGGGGAAUCAUCGCACCCGCCCUGCCCGGCCGGGAGCCACCAGCGCCUCUGCCGGCUGUGACCGGAACUGCACCUGAGGGGAAAGUGCCCAGCAGCUCAGAGAAGACUGGGGCUACGCUUGGGGUUCUAUUUGUUGUUAGUGCUGUGGCUGUUGUUUUCUUGCCUUGUUAUACAUAUAUAUACUAGGAAAGAAUUUGAAAGCCCCUUAAUUUCAAAGUUAUAAUAAUUUGGAGGAAAGAGGGUCAUAUUUUUCAUUCCAAGGGAGGUUCCCACCUCCCUUGGCAGACAUCUGACUGUGAAACCAAGACAGAUAGCCAAGUUGUGGUAAUUAUGCCUUGUUUGUACAGGAGUAGUGAAGAGUUCUUUUGCGAUAGUCACAGAAGCUACUAAUAAGAUCAUCCCAUUUCAGGCGUUAUAGGAAAGACAAAUUAAUUUUUCUUUGAUGGAAAAAUUUUAGUAUCUAUAUUGUCUUGAACUUGCUAUCAUUGAGCAAACAGGAUCUUGAAAAAAUAAACAGGCCAUGUAUUGUACAAAAAUUGCUUUCCACACCAAGUAAGUUUUUAAGACACUAUGAUGUGGUGCAAAAGACUGCCCUGGCUGGCCUUCUGCUGUCAGAUUGUGACUCCAUGCAUUGGUUUCCUUUUCUUCUGAGGAAGAAGUGAAGCAUUUUGCCACUUAAUAAUGACAGAACAUGGCAGUGGAUCAUUUAGAGCAAGGCACUGAAGCAGCUAAUUAUGAUGGAGAUUAUCCUGUUCUUUGAAAUAAAAAGGCAGUAACUAAGAAAUGACAAAAUUAAUCAAACAUGCUGAACUUGGAAAGGGCAAGAAUGAACAGUAAAAUUCAGGUCCAUUAGUAAGAGUAAGAUACGAAGAGUAAGAUUUCCUUUCCAAAGGGAAAUAGAAAUUAAAUCCUAAUGCACUAGAGGAAGGAGAAAACAUUUUUAAAAAAUAUUUUCUAAACAGAAUAAGUUGAAAGUAAUUUUUGGUUUGUGGUAUAACAUGAGGAGACUGGGCACAAGCUUUCCAAAUAUAGCUAUUUAUGUGCACAUGGGCACUGAAUGGAGAAGUCAUCACUGGUACUGUAAAUGAAAAGUGCAAGUCUAAAGCCAACCUGAUGCCCUAUUUACCUUCCAGAAUUCUGCAAAUACUUGAAUCACUGACUAGAUGAACUAAUAAAAAUUGUCAAAAUUCAUCUUUA
This is a long non-coding RNA of Catharus ustulatus (Swainson's thrush), 2067 nucleotides long. RefSeq lists it as uncharacterized. The transcript has 2 exons. NCBI's taxonomy places the organism in Eukaryota, Metazoa, Chordata, Aves, Passeriformes, Turdidae. The record is from RefSeq and is a predicted model, not a curated record.